Danio rerio (zebrafish) is the source of this 5146-nucleotide non-coding RNA. Lineage: Eukaryota; Metazoa; Chordata; Actinopteri; Cypriniformes; Danionidae. The record is from RefSeq and is a predicted model, not a curated record.
CUUUUUCUUUUGAAUAACCCAUUUUCAAGAUUUGAUCCAAUCCCUUAUCUAAAAUCCUAGUGGAUUACUUUUAAAAAACCGGGCCCUGAUGUUUGAACUGAUGUGGAUGGAGGAUCUUUCUUACUGAAGUGCCCCUGGGCGGGGCCGUAGAGAAAUCGGCGAUAUAUACUUGGCUGCGAGGGUUAGAGAGUGUGGAAUGCCCACAUGUAAACCUCAUACUGUAAAGGGUUUAUUCUUCAGCCCAGAGCGCUCUGUAUGCUUUAUCCAUUUGAUUCAUUAAAUUAAUUUAAACUUAUUUGAAGCCUCUGACCGAUCAUUUAACCUGGGGGACAAGGAAAAGUCCAACAAGACCCACACGGUGAGCAAAAUUAGCAGUGUCCUGAAGAGCAUCUGGAACAAUCUUUACUAAUGUUGAGAGCCACUUAUCGGACAUUUUCAGCAUGUUUUUCGGUAACACCGUUUAGUUUUAAACAGCACCUCCAACUGUAGCGCUUACAAUCUAAGUACACUUGUGUUAUUUUCAAGAGUGUAGGUGGAAUAGAUCUAUUAUUACGGUGUGAUUUUUCAAUACAAAAACUCCCUCUUAAAUUAUCAGAAUUUCAUUAACAGGUUCUGUUAUAUUGGCAAUUAAUUUACAAACAUAAUUUUUCCCCACAUAAUUCACCAAUUUGGAACAAUAGGUACAUUUUAUUUAGAAACAAAUCUUUUUUUAUGAAGACUGAUGGGAGAGAGGUAUUUGGUCGGUUGUCCAUCUAUUAGACAAAGAAGGUGAGGUUCUCAGUCAUAGAAAUUUUUGUGAAAAAUAUAACUUUGAAUGUGAUCAUAAGCAAUACACUAGGGUAUUAAAAUCUAUUCCGAAGGCAUUUCUAACGAUGGUUAGUAAUGUGGUUUCCAAUAUAAAUUACACACUUCAUCUGCCUUGUUUGUUGAUAAAUGGACAAGAUUUUAUUCGGAGUGAAAUACCCAAUAAAAUAAUAAGAUCGAUAUUAACCCAAGAUAAAUUUCCAAUACAAGCUAAUAGAAAUAAUAUCUCUUUUCUUUUUUCCAAGAGCUCUAUUACCGAAUUAAGAACAAUGUCUCUUUCCUUCCCAAUACCUCCCAAAGCUAAAGAAGUACAUUUUUUAAUUUUUAAUAAUAUUUACCCAUCUUCAGAGUUUCUUAGACAUAGAUUUAACUUUGAUCACAACAACUGUACAUUCUGUGAGAUUGACAUUGAAUCUGCACAUUUAUUUUUUGAAUGUUUAUAUAGCAGAACCUUUUGCUCCCAAUUUUCUAAAAAUUAUAUUUUAUUUGGUUUAUUAGGGUAAGAUGUUAAUAUUCAAUUUGUAUUGAACAAUAUUUUAAUUUUGGGAAAAUGUUAUAUUCAUAAAUGCAAGUGCCUUAAAACCAAACCACUGUUUUUAGUUUUCCAAAAGGAAUUUUGGCUAUACUGUAAAUCUUUACAGCUGAUAAAAUCAAAAUGUGGAAGACUCUUUAGUCUAUUGAAAAUUUUAAAUUAAUAGAAGACCCGAUGUAAAUGUUUUUUUUUUCUUUUUUUGUGUGUCUUUUCUCUGGUUUAAGUAACUUUUUUUCAUUUUGAUUUACUAUGUUAAUGACUUUAUUAUUUGUGCUCUGUUCUAUAAAUGUAGAUAAUAGUUGUUAUUCAAAUUUUGCCUUACUGUAAUUGUGUUAUGAUGCAAUAAAAAAAGUACACUUGUGUUCAGCGAUUAGUUUCCUCUCUCAGCGCGCCAAUCUCUGCUUCAGAUGAUUAAGAGUCUCUCUGUGCUCACUGACAUCCAGAAGCAGCUGUCGCGCCGUCGCUGUCAAACUUUUCAUUUGUAGCUCAGCUACAACAACCUCGUUUUUCGGACAAGUGUCAAAUCAUGUGAUUCCGUAUCACAUUGGAAAUUCAGUCCAGAGCUACAGGCCGAUGCCGAGCCAUCAAGUCCGCCGUGUGGGACGCGUCAAAAAACACUCAUGCCAGACCUUGCGUGAUUAACUUUAUUCUUGCUUCUUAUCCCUAUGCACAAAGAUGUCAAAAGAGUUAUAUAACGUCUACGCGUAUUUUAUAAUGUCAUCACCAGUGUUAAGCAGUAGGUUGAUAUACCACUUUACCUUUUAAAUCCUGAAGAACAAACGCGAAUACCUGUACCUAGGGCGCCGCCAUCUUGGUCUCCCUCCACGUUACGUCAUCUGAUUAAAUAGAACGCGUUCUAAACUGCGAAUGUCACAAUUAACCAGACGCCUGACAGAGUAGACGAAUAUUGAGAAGCUCCGCAUUUGGACACUCAGACAAGGCGAACAGAUUUACAAUCAGAUAAUUAAUUGCAGUAAAUUGAUUCAUAUACUUUUGAUAAAGUUAUUUACUGAUAAGUAAAUGGAACAGAGUAUGUUUUAUGUUCCUGGUCCUUCGGGACGAAGCAGAGCAUCAUCUAUGCUGAGAAUAGGGCCUUCUCCUGGUUCUGGUAACUUUACAUUUUAAUGUAUUUUUUUGUUUUAUAUUGUAUUUUUUGUAUUGUAUGUAUUGUAAUGUUUGAGGUUGUUAAACCCUUCUGUUGCUGUUUGGUUGUUUUCACCCACUCUGGAGUCAUUUUAAGGCUUAAUUUGGCUUAAACUUGCUGUUUUAGCGAAGGAGUGAUUUUUUAUGACAAAUUUUAUUUUGACACAUUUUGGGAAAAGUUUUGAAAAAAAAAAAAGUUAAAAAAAAUUUUUAAUUCAGGUCAAAUUGACUCCACUUUCAUUAUGCUCCCUGUUGUGAAGAGGUAACAUUUGUAAUUUUCGCUGAUGAUUAUCAGUUGCAGUGCAAAAAGCUUAGUUAAUGGCUUUUAUAUGGAGGUGUGUGUCUGUGUGUGUGUGUGUGUGUGUGUGUGUGUGUGUGUGUGUGUGUGUGUGUGUGUGUGUGUGUGUGUGUGUGUGAGAGAGAGAGAGAGAGAGAGAGAGACUUUUGCACACUUACAAAAACAGCCAUCAGCAUAAUAAAAAGGUAGUCAAUUUGAAAAAGGGUUAAAUUACUUUAUUCUGUCUGUUCUGGCAUUACAAGCACCUGUCUCAAUUUAACAUGUUGUUUUUUUGUCUUUCAGUGAAAGAAAAGUAUGAUGUCAGAGAAAAAAUAGGAGAGGGCUGCUACGGCCAGGUCUACAUCGGUAUCAGAAAGUCGGACCGAAAACAGUUUGCCAUCAAGGUAACUGAUUACGGAGAUAACAGCGGUGUGCCUGGCUAUGCUGGAGAGCUCCCAAAGGAAGUGGCGAUGAUGACCAUUGUGAGGGAUUCCCCCUGCCCGUUCCUCAUCAAACUCCAAGAGUGGUUUUUGGUGAAAGAGGAGAAAUUGCCAGACGGGGUAAGUCUGUUUAUUCAGCACAUUACAUGAAAUAUGCACUGUAAGAGGGUUUGUCUCGUUUCCUUUUGUUGUGUUGAUUUUGUAACUUAAAAUUCUUAAAUCAAGAAGCAUUUCUGAACAAGAACAUAACUCUGUCUUGUUUUCAGAAGAGCUCAUGGGUUAUUAAUAUGCCGGUGCGGUAAGCGAAAUAAACUCGUUUCUACUUUAAAAUCUAUCCUGAAUGUAACUGGAAGCCAGUGUAAAGACUGACCUGAGGACUGCUGUCAUGUGCUUGAUUUUAAUUGAUUGCAUUUGCUUUCAGGAAAUGAUAAGGACAAUAGCAAUGGUGAUAGAGCAUCCCGGCCCGUGCAGAACUCUAGCAGAAUUCCUGGAGGAGCACCCGAACCUGGAGAGGAGAGACGCUCGCACACUGAUCCAGCAGAUCGUGAAAGCGGCUCAAGCGUGCAAGAGGCAGGAAAUUUGUCAUUUUGAUAUCCACGAUCAUAAUAUCCUGGUCAUCAGUCCACCUCUGCACAUUAAGCUGAUAGAUUUUGGAUGUGGGUUGCACAUCUUCCAUGAUCCAGACAAUCACCCACGGCGAGACACAGUGAUAUCUCCAGUGACAGCGGAACAAAUAACGGUGAAUCAGCUGGUUACCAUCGUGGAGGGCAUAGCAAGACAUUGUUCCAGCAUACCUACAGCAUUCAUGGAGUAUAUUACUGCCUGCCGGUCAUCUUUGAAUGUUGAAGAAGUGGUCCAGCAUACAGUGGAGGAGAUUCUGGAUCAGCCGUGGCUAAGAGACUAAUGACAAUAAAGACAUGAGGAACAUGAGGAGUUAUGAUUUUCACUCUCGAACAGGACCUGUUUUAGAGGAGAUUAUAGAGCACAAGUGGUUCAGCAUGACGUAGAGCCCAUCAGCAGCAGGAAACAGGUUUUCAUACUUCCAUUUACGUCAAAUUGUUUUGCUGUUUUCCGCUUCUGCUUCCCAAAUUCUGCACUUCCUCCUGCGAGUGUUGCAGUCAGAGCUGCAUGUAAAUGAGGGCCGGUUAAAGCGUCCCUAUUGGUUCACCAGCUCUAGACCGACUGCUCUUCCUUUAGCUGAUCAGGUGAGGAAGGAAGCUGAUGUCAGUCUAAUGGCGGCCGAUGCGCACAGGCGACGCCGGAGAUUGAGUGUUAGCGCUAAUCCUCAGCUGGGGUAGAAUCUGUCUGCGGCAGGACAGCAUUAAUCGUUUAAAAUAAGUAAGGGAAAGCAGGUUCAUUCACGUUUAGACAGGACGUAGUGUUUAUAUGAACUGGGUUAGCACCGACUGUAGAGUAAAUAGUCAUAUUAAGGGAAAUAAUCACAGAUUAAUAAAUGAAACUGCUGGAAAGGGGGAUUUAUUAGCAUACGGGUGUGCUUUAUUUCUAUAGCUGUAGGAUUAAUAGUAAAAGGUGAAGUCUGUGUAUUAUUACUGUAGUGCGUCAAUACUUUUAUAAAGACAGAAAGCCUAGUUUAGACAGUCGUCGUAGCUCUAACGGGACUUUAGGCAGGUUUAAGUGAGAUAAGCGCAUAUAACAGGGGCGUCCUGGGCCAAUGGGGAUGCUUUAGCCGGCCCUCAUUUGCAUGCAGCUCUGAAUGCGACACUCGCAGGAGGAAGUGCACAAUGUGGGAAGCAGAAGCGGAAAACAGCAUCAUGUCAGAAAACAAUGGAAGUAUGAAUUCCUGAUGAUGUUAUUUAGUCACUGACCACAUGUGUGCUGCUCUUCCUAUGAUUUCUGUGAAAUUGAGACUAUGAACCCUAUGGAGUGUGUUGAAGCUGUUUUCUGUUGAUCAAACUGUAAACUAUUGUCUUCAAUAAACUGUAUCUCUGA